RNAcentral lists this unclassified non-coding RNA (329 nucleotides) under soil metagenome. RNAcentral's name for it is "partial contains 5.8S ribosomal RNA, internal transcribed spacer 2, and large subunit ribosomal RNA". The stretch from base 1 to 120 matches the Rfam family "5.8S ribosomal RNA", at positions 35 to 154 of the family's 154-position model. The record is from RNAcentral.
GAUGAAGAACGUAGCGAAAUGCGAUAAGUAAUGCGAAUUGCAGAAUUCCGUGAGUCAUCGAAUCUUUGAACGCACAUUGCGCCCCUUGGUAUUCCGGGGGGCAUGCCUCUUCCAGCGUCAUUUCACCCCUCAAGCUCUGCUUGGUUUUGGGCCGCGCCGGCAACGGCGGGCCUCGAAAAUAGUGGCGACGCCAUCGUGCUCUCAGCGUAGUAAUUCUUCUCGCUGUUGGGUCCCGGUGGUCGUCCGCCAGCAACCCCCAACUUUCUUAAGUUUGACCUGGGAUGAGGUAGGGAUACCCGCUGAACUUAAGCAUAUCAAUAAGCGGAGGA